AAACCAACCGGGAUUGCCUCAGUAACGGCGAGUGAAGCGGCAAAAGCUCAAAUUUGAAAUCCGCAAGGAAUUGUAAUUUGAAGACAAUCAGUUGGCAGCGCAACAAGUUGCUUGGAACAGCACACCAUAGAGGGUGAGAGUCCCGUGUAGCAGCAGCCUUUUACUGUAUGUCGACGAGUCGAGUUGUUUGGGAAUGCAGCUCUAAGUGGGUGGUAAACUCCAUCUAAAGCUAAAUAUUGGCGAGAGACCGAUAGCGAACAAGUACAGUGAUGGAAAGAUGAAAAGCACUUUGAAAAGAGAGUGAAACAGCACGUGAAAUUGCUGGAAGGGAAGGGCUUGCAGCCAGACAGCGUUCGCGCGCCUAGCUUUGGUUUGUGUUGGUAGAUAACCCCGUAGGAAUGUGGCUCGUUCGCGAGUGUUAUAGCCUGCGGUAAUGUGCCAGCGUAGACUACAGCUG
RNAcentral lists this ribosomal RNA (457 nucleotides) under Pichia sp. CBS 8578. RNAcentral's name for it is "eukaryotic LSU rRNA". It matches the Rfam family "Eukaryotic large subunit ribosomal RNA", at positions 62 to 532 of the family's 3401-position model. Lineage: Eukaryota; Fungi; Ascomycota; Pichiomycetes; Pichiales; Pichiaceae. The record is from RNAcentral.